This 439-nucleotide ribosomal RNA is filed under the name uncultured bacterium. Its description in RNAcentral is "partial 16S ribosomal RNA". It matches the Rfam family "Bacterial small subunit ribosomal RNA", at positions 338 to 795 of the family's 1533-position model. The record is from RNAcentral.
CCUACGGGGGGCUGCAGUGGGGAAUAUUGCACAAUGGGCGAAAGCCUGAUGCAGCAACGCCGCGUGAGCGAUGAAGGCCUUCGGGUCGUAAAGCUCUGUCCUCAAGGAAGUUAAUGACGGUACGUGAGGAGGAAGCUCCGGCUAACUACGUUCCAGCAGCCGCGGUAAUACGUCGGGGGCUAGGGUUAUCCGGAAUUACUGGGCGUAAGGGGUGCGUAGGUGGUUUCUUAAGUCAGAGGUGAAAGGCUACGGCUAAACCGUAGUAAGCCUUUGAAACUGGGGAACUUGAGUGCAGGAGAGGAGAGUGGAAUUCCUAGUGUAGCGGUGAAAUGCGUAGAUAUCAGGAGGAACACCGGUGGCGAAGGCGGCCUGCUGGACUGCAACUGACGUUGAGGCCCGAAAGCGUGGGGAGCAAACAGGAUUAGAUACCCCUGUAGUC